This 85-nucleotide transfer RNA is filed under the name Spirochaetota bacterium. RNAcentral's name for it is "Spirochaetes bacterium (anaerobic digester metagenome) tRNA-Ser". It matches the Rfam family "tRNA". From Rfam's summary of the family: Transfer RNA (tRNA) molecules are approximately 80 nucleotides in length. The record is from RNAcentral. Lineage: Bacteria; Pseudomonadati; Spirochaetota.
GGAGAGGUGUCAGAGUGGUCUAAUGUGUCUGAUUCGAAAUCAGAUGUCCUGAGAGGGACCGGGGGUUCGAAUCCCUCCCUCUCCG